This 1600-nucleotide long non-coding RNA is filed under the name Nicotiana benthamiana. RNAcentral describes it as "long non-coding RNA (NBEN_LNC017091)". The record is from RNAcentral. Lineage: Eukaryota; Viridiplantae; Streptophyta; Magnoliopsida; Solanales; Solanaceae.
CAGAUCAAACAAAGUCCACAUGGGACCAUGAUCCACUAGCAGAAAUACACAAGAGAACUAAUCAAAAGGUUUAAAAUGGAGGACGCUAAAGAAAUAGAUACACAUAUUGCAACUGCCACUAAAUUAGAUAUUGAUGAACCUGGUUCAUCAGUUCAUCAAAAGUUGUAUAGGGGUAUGAUUGGUUCACUCUUGUAUCAUACUACUAGCAGACCUGACAUUGUUUUCAGUGUAGGGCUUUGUGCUCAUUUCUAGGGAAAUCCAAAGGAGUCACAUUUGACAGCUGUCAAAAGGAAUUUGAGAUAUCUGAAAGGCACCACUGAUUUGUGUCUUUGAUAUCCCAAAUGUAGUAACUUUUAUCUAGUAGGAUUUACUGAUGCUGAUUAUGCAGGUUACUUGGUGGACAGGAAGAGUACUUCAGGUAUGGCACAUUUCCUGGGGUCACGUCUAGUGUCAUGAGCUACCAAAAAGGAAAACUCAGUAGCCCUAUCUACUGCUGAAGCUGAAUAUGUUGUGGCUGCUUCUUGUUGCGCUCAAUUGCUAUGGAUCAAACAACAACUGAAGUGGGAUGUAUUCCUAUUUUUUUGUGAUAACACUAGUGCUAAAGUAUGACAAGGAAACAUGCUCAUCAUAAAAGGACAAAGCACAUAGAUGUUAGACACCACUUCCUGAGAGAUAACUAUGAGAAAAGGUUAAUCUCCAUAGAAUUUUGUGCUACUGAUAAACAAAUAGCUUACAUCUUCACUAAAGCACUAAGUAGAGAAAACUUUGAAAGGAAAAAGUUAGAAUUAGAGAUGAUUAAGUUCACCUAAAAGGUCCAGUUCAGAAUGCACAAUGAAAAAAAUAUGAAAAAUGAAUUUUUUUAGUUAGGAGUUCUUAAUUCGCAUGUUAGAAUUAGGGAUGAUUAAGAUCACCUAAUUAGGUCCAGUUCAGAAUGCAAUGAAAAAAAGGGAAAUUUUUAUUUUGUUUGGUUAGAAGUUCUGACUUUAAGUGAAUAUCUAGACUAAUUCUUACUCACUCUCAAACUCUAAUCAGUAUACUCUUGUGACAUGUUUCUUUUAAUUCAUUGAUAUCUUACAAAGUUUUUUUCUAUUUGGAUACAUGAGGCACACUCAAGAGAAGUUCUACUUGAAGAACCUGGUUCAUCAAGAUCAUGUUCAUAAGAGAAGGUCAGGUAUAUUUCUAUACUUUGCACAAUUAGAAAAUUAAAUAUUCAAUUAUGAGCAGAAGUCCUAUUCUAACCAAACUCCCAAAAUAUAACCGCUAAGCAUUGGACCAGUUUUCCUCUCCUAGAAUUCUAAAGAAUAACGAGAUUUUUUUAAAAAACCAGUGAAAAUUAAAGAUCGGAGCCUUAAUGGGAUUAAAAUCCUGAUUGACCAGUGCAAAAGGAUGCAGUUACUAAUCAUGCCCCUUUUAAACCACUCCCCACACUCCUAAUUUGGUCCAUACCCACCGUUAAGUUCAGAAACCCUUCUUCUCCAAAAUAACCAAAAAUCCCCAAAAUCUUUAUAAAUCCUUCACCAUGUCUAACCCUCAAGAAAAUCCAGGGACACCCUUCUCGGAAUCUACCAAUACGUCUUCGUCUGCACCCCCUAGCAACAAC